GACCGCGUAGCUCAGUUGGCAGAGCAUUGGGCUAGUAUUCCAAAGGUCGUAGGUUCGAUUCCCGCCGUAGCCA
RNAcentral lists this transfer RNA (73 nucleotides) under Paramuricea clavata. It matches the Rfam family "tRNA". Rfam says of the family: Transfer RNA (tRNA) molecules are approximately 80 nucleotides in length. Their secondary structure includes four short double-helical elements and three loops (D, anti-codon, and T loops). The record is from Rfam by way of RNAcentral. Lineage: Eukaryota; Metazoa; Cnidaria; Anthozoa; Malacalcyonacea; Plexauridae.